RNAcentral lists this long non-coding RNA (415 nucleotides) under Carica papaya (papaya). RNAcentral's name for it is "long non-coding RNA (CPAP_LNC000125)". Lineage: Eukaryota; Viridiplantae; Streptophyta; Magnoliopsida; Brassicales; Caricaceae. The record is from RNAcentral.
GUCCACUCAGGCAUCAUGUACGUCCCAUCUGCAUGGGCAUGGGGCCGAUCCUACGCGCGUAUCUUGUUGUGUGUAGGCAGACCAGUUUACGCGUGUCACAUUGCACGCGAACAAGGUCGGGCGUCGCACAUUGUGCACGCGCUAUCUACGCAAUAGGCCAAUGCGGAUAGGCCUAUGUGCUUGGGGCCUACACACAGUAGGCCUGUGUGCAACACUCUACGCACAGUAGGCCUGCACACUAUAGGCCCUGCGCAUGGCAGGCUAGGCCUACAGCAUGUGGUUCGCCUAGGCGAGGCGUACUGUCGCCUCGGGCAUUGUGUCGUCGCCCCCUUGGCCAUCGUGCGUCGCCUUGAGCGGUGGUCCACCACCUUAGUUGGUGAGCUGCUGCCGGUGGAGGAAAUUUUCCUCUGUUUUU